AUUGAACGCUGGCGGCAGGCCUAACACAUGCAAGUCGAGCGGAUGAAGGGAGCUUGCUCCUGGAUUCAGCGGCGGACGGGUGAGUAAUGCCUAUGAAUCUGCCUGGUUGUGGGGGAUAACGUCCGGAAACGGGCGCUAAUACCGCAUACGUCCUGAGGGAGAUGGUGGGGGAUCUUCGGACCUCACGCUAUCAGAUGAGCCUAGGUCGGAUUAGCUAGUUGGUGGGGUAAAGGCCUACCAAGGCGACGAUCCGUAACUGGUCUGAGAGGAUGAUCAGUCACACUGGAGGUGAGACACGGUCCAGACUCCUGGGAGAGGCACCAGUGGGGAAUAUUGGACAAUGGGGGAAAGCCUGAUACAACCAUGCCGCGUGUGAGAAAGAGGUCUUCGGAUUGUAAAGCACUUUAAGGUGGGAGAAAGGGCAGUAAGUUAAUACCUAGCUGUAUUGACGUUACCAACAGAAUAAGCACCGGCUAACUUCGUG
This 484-nucleotide ribosomal RNA is filed under the name uncultured bacterium. Its description in RNAcentral is "partial 16S ribosomal RNA". It matches the Rfam family "Bacterial small subunit ribosomal RNA", at positions 30 to 507 of the family's 1533-position model. The record is from RNAcentral.